CUAUAGUCUACUCCUCCAGACAAGGGGAGGGGAAGGGAGGGAAGGGAGGAGAGGGAAGCAUCCAUGGCCGUGGGCGGCCUUCUCCGGGGCCUCGUUUCUCCGGCGGGGGGUGUCGCCACCUGGCUGCCAUGCCACGAGCUCUUCGCCUCCUGGCACCACUGGCUCCCCUCGCUCCCGCGCCUCCGCCCGCCCGCCUCCGACGGAUUCAAGCUUCUCCUCGUGCUGCUCCUCUUCUCCGCCGCCCUGGCCGAGGUCCGCUACAUCGCCUCCUCCUCCAUGGUGCCCACGCUCCGGCCAGGCGACCAAGCCGUCGCCGAGAAGGUUACAUACUUAUUCCGGAGGCCAUCUAUUGGGGAUAUAGUGUUCUUCAAAGUGCCGACGGCCGUGCAGAACUAUGGCGUCAAUAAGGAUGUUGUAUUUAUUAAGAGGGUAUUGGCAACACCUGGAGAUUUCAUCGAGGUUCGCAAGGGGCAGCUUAUUGUAAAUGGUGUUGCACAAAAGGAGCAUUACACAGCAACCCAUGCGUUGUACACAAUGGAAGCAAUGGUCCAGGGAUUUUAAAGUGCUGUUAACAAAACGGUUAACAGAUGUGAUGAGAGAAUUUUCAUUCUCCACGAGAUGAUGAUCAAAAGUGGACUGGCUGCUCCAUGUUGUUGACUUCUUGAGUGCCUUGUUGUAAUCAGCAGGCCUCAGAUGGUGGAUGAUCUCUUCCUUCCAUCUUUCCUCACUGGCCGCAUACCUGGAUCCUCCACUGAAACUAUUCAUACUCCUGCAGCGCCUACCUGAAGGUCAUGUGUUCGUCAUGGGUGACAACCGGAAUAACAGCUGUGAUUCUCGUGCCUGGGGCCCUCUUCCCAUUGGCAACAUUGUUGGAAGGUACAUGACGUCCUUUACAAGAUCCUCGUUCCAGUAACUGAGGUGAAGAGAUGCCACUCAUAAUCUCCAACGUUCCUGACGGCUGAUAUUGCUUCGUACCAAUGUAGUUACCGAGUUGUUCUGAGCCUGGGGCCAGGCCCGUAUCUUUCAAUUUAGGAGGCCCGUAUCUGUCAACUUGUGUUGUGUGAGGACUUGCCCUCAAGUAUGCUGUAGCAUUGUUGUUGUAUGUGUUGGCCUUUCUCCCAGCUUCUCCCAGCUGUGGAAGUCAAAGAGGUUUACCUCUGCCGCUUGCUGUUGGCAAAUGCCCUCAGGCUGUCGUGUGCUGAGCUUAUGAUUGGCAACCUGUUGAUUGGUAGAACCUGCAGAAUGUAUCUAAAGCUUGCAAGAGGUUACCUUAGGUGAUGAAGCUUAUGGGCAUUGGUAGAUGUCAGAAUGCUUGAAUGCAUUUUGCAUCAAAACUUUGGACA
This is an RNA transcript of Panicum virgatum (switchgrass), 1343 nucleotides long. It is a transcript of the gene named thylakoidal processing peptidase 1, chloroplastic-like, with no coding region annotated. NCBI's taxonomy places the organism in Eukaryota, Viridiplantae, Streptophyta, Magnoliopsida, Poales, Poaceae. The transcript is spliced from 6 exons. The record is from RefSeq and is a predicted model, not a curated record.